UGGUUUUUCCUAUUGCCUCAGGGGUCCUGGAAGAAGCACCCCAUUCCUGUUUCCCAUCUCCCACCUGGUCCAGCCAAGAGGAAGAAUUCAGGCACGGGGCAGAAGACUCUGGGAAGAAUUCUGGCCUCAAAGGCCUGAUGCAAGUGAAAUAGAAAUCAGCUGACGAUUGACGUUUACUAACUGACUUUCCUUUGUGCACCUAGUACAGCCCAGCAACGUGGUGGAUAGUAAAGGCAAGGCCCCUGCCUUCAAGGAGCAGACCGUACAGCAGAGACAAGGACGUCUGUGGGUAUAACUUUGGAAAGGGUAGGUUUCUGGGUUCUCCCGAAGGCUUCCUGGAGGGGGUGGUCCCCAAGGCUGGCCUGCUGAGAUGCUGAGUGGGUGAUGCCAGCAGCAGUGGUAAGAGAAGGACGUGGAGGGAAAGCUCACGGUGGGUCAUCGGGUGUCGGGGUCUGGGCUCCCGGCAGCUGCAGGUUGUAUGCUGGGGAGGGGCGUUACCUGCCUGCAGCUUCCAGCAGGUCACCCUUCCUAUCUGUGCAGAGAGCCUGUGUCACGUUCCCCGGGCUUGCAGACCAAAUUCUCCAGAAAAAGUACCCGGCCAGGCAAGGCCAAUGUGAAUUUGACCUGCCUUUUAUCAGAAUGUGCCUGCCAUUCUCAAGGUCAAAACUAUUGCCCUCAUGGUCCCUGUGUGUCACCUUAUAAACAGUCUCCCCGGCCCCAGGGCUGCCAAAGUGCUGUGCAAUGUUAUUACACUGCUCUGAAACCCCAUCCAAUGAUCCAGCCACGCUUUCCUCCUCCUGGCUGUGAUGCUGCCUUCCCUGUUGCCCUGGUGCCUGAUGCUGCUAUAUUAAAACAGGCACAGAUGUCUGGCAGACACCGGAGCCUUGCAGGCUGCAACAUGCCAGCCACAUCAAAACACUGGUGGGUGAAGUACUGGGGCCUGCGAGGGGGCAAGGAGAGGUAGACUCCCUGCUCUGGAGAUCAGAGCCAUUCCCGGCAUCAGUAAACUGGGGAAGAUGCAGCCUGGGGGCAGAGGCAGGAGAGGGGGCCUUCCUGCCUCUGGAUCCUUUGCUCAGGGAGCUUUCAUACUCAGGCAUUGUCGUUUGGGGGAUGUGCUCAGGGGAGGGGAACUGAAAGCUGAGGAUGCUGUAACUCACAACCCAGAGUGUCCAGGCUUUCCUCCACCUAUAUUUCCCUGCUAUUACCCCUGAGCUUUUUGUUUUUUUAGAUAGAGCCUUAUUCCAAUACAACGACCAGUCUGCCUCAGUUGAGCUACAGGGUCUAAGUAAAAGGAAACACUGCUUUGUCUCUGUUCCUGGGGCCAGAGUAUAAAAAAUGGAGCCCCUGUCUCCCCAGCCCAAGAUGGUGACAGCAGUGGGAGUCAGCAAGAAGCCCUAAAGGGGCGGGGGAGGGCGCAUCUGGGGAGUCAAGGGUCUGCUGAGCAAGAUGAAGUCGCCCCUGUCCACAUGCGGACGCUCCUCUGAGAGAGGGAACCUUGUCAGCUUGGGCUGUGUGGGGUUUGGGGCUUGUUCAGGAGGCAGCAAAUACCCCCACGGUACAGAGUGAGGAAAGGGAACCGCCGCUCCCUCCCCACACCCUGUGCCCACCGCCUCCUGAGGACCUGAGGGUUUCUAAGAGAAUGGAAUUCAAAAGAGACAGGAGGAAGGGGAGGAGAAGAUCCAGUCCGGCUGCUGUGUCUGGUCCUGGGGAGGAUGCUGGUGCUUGGUAUCCGUCCGCUUCUCAGGCUGGGGUAGCGGAGGUGCUGGAGAGGUGUCUGGUUCAGCAGGUGUCAACGGAAGCUCAGACUUGAGACAAUGCCAAGACCACGGAAAGGAGCUCAGCAGGUUUGCUCUUCCCUGGAGGAGGAGAAAGCCUGCCCUGGAAACAGCUGGUGUGGCUUCAGCUCACUGGGAGAGGAGGCCCAACUAUUUAACUUCUGAUUUGCACCUGUCCCUUUAUCAUGCCCACUGAUCUUCACGUUGAAAGGAGAACAAGUUUAAGAGGAAACGGAAGUUGAGGAGGAGAGGAGGCGGGUGUCACCCGAGAGUGAGAUAGCGUCCCUGCUCUGACCAAGGUCAGGGUCCAGUCUCCGGAGGCCCUCACACCCCACUGGGAGAGGGACAGACUGGAGCCCUCCUAUCCGUGUGUGCACAGGACUGCGCUCAGCCUCUGGGGUUUGUGUGAUGUCCGGGUCAGUGUGUGGAGCUGGUGUCAAGGCCUUUUAUGCUGUGGCCAUUCCCAGCUGAUGGCCCUCUCCUUCGUCUUACUCUGUCCAGCUAGGUCGAGCGGCACCUCGGAGGUGGGAUUUGUCCUCAUGGGCAGUUCUGCAGCUCUGUCCCUGAUCCCUACCCAGAUCCAGCCCAUAUUCUAAGCCUCAGGCUCCCCAGGAUUGGCUGGGCUCAGAGGUCCCCAGACACAGUCCAUUCCCAAGGCCCCAUGUUUCUCCAUCCUCCCGAGAGGGGCUCUGCCUACUCAGAACUCACUCCUCGACUCCCCUCUGGACUCUUACAUGUACUUCAGCAGCUCACACAGGGGUGACUCUCUGACCUCUGAUCCCUAGAGAAAAAGAAUGCCUGAUCCCCAGGGCGGACACACAUGGCAAGCCUGGCACGGAACGUGGGUUCAGUAUGGCGGGUCCUCCAGGGAAACAACAUCCUUCACGUCUCUGUUUCUUUUUCAGGGCUAAAGGGAGACUGGGAGCCUGGCAGCAUUUGGGAGGAAUUUGCUGAAUUAUGGAUAAAGAGGGAACAGAUCAAUUACUCACCAUCCACUGAGUACAAGACGCAAGGCCCUAAGGAGGGAAGGAAUUAAACACCCUUAGGAGUCUUACUAGUCUUCUCAAAUGGCACGUUACCCAUGCUUCCCAUCUCGAGGUCCAGAUGAUGUAGCUGGAGACCUGGCACAGUAACACACUCUGAGAAUUUGUCACCUCUGCUGGCUCCCCUGCCUGGCUGGGCGAGGGGACAGGGACACUGUGGCAGGGUCUGGUAGCUGCCCACACCCUCUGACCCAUGACCUGUCAGGAGACUGCAGCCUUGCUCUCUGGAAAUUCUGAAAGGGCCCUCAGCUACCCUGGAUGCCCAUGUGUGCACUGACUGCGCUGAGACCCAGGGAAGGAAAAAGAGCCACUGCUGAUUCAGUGAAGUACAUCUGGGCUCCCAUGAUGCGGCAGGAAAGCACUUCUCCAAAGGAAGGUGUCUGAGGCACCAAAAUGGCAAAGGAAGGAAGUGGAUUCUUGGAGAUAUGGGGCUGGCCAAAAAGUUUGUUCCGGGUUUCCUAUAAGAUGAUCCCAGCUCCACCAGAACCGGCUGAAGCUCAGAAGGCUGUGGACAUGCUUUUUCCAGCCCCAGCUCCAUCUAGACGUGGGAAGACCGAGAGUACACAGAAAGCUCCCCUGCCUACUGGUGAGCUGAGCACGGCGGGGUGGA
Molecule: non-coding RNA, 3428 nt
Organism: Delphinapterus leucas (beluga whale)
Lineage: Eukaryota; Metazoa; Chordata; Mammalia; Artiodactyla; Monodontidae
Source: RefSeq, a predicted model, not a curated record